UACGAAGGGGGCUAGCGUUACUCGGAUUGACUGGGCGUAAAGGGCGCGUAGGCGGUUUGUACAGUCAGACGUGAAAUUCCUGGGCUCAACCUGGGGGCUGCGUUUGAUACGUGCAGACUUGAGUUCGGAAGAGGGUCGUGGAAUUCCCAGUGUAGAGGUGAAAUUCGUAGAUAUUGGGAAGAACACCGGUGGCGAAGGCGGCUCACUGGCUCAUUACUGACGCUCAGGCGCGAUAGCGUGGGGAUCAAACAGG
Molecule: ribosomal RNA, 253 nt
Filed under: uncultured bacterium
Lineage: Bacteria
Description: partial 16S ribosomal RNA
Rfam family: Bacterial small subunit ribosomal RNA
Source: RNAcentral